CUACCAACAUUGUGAGGUGUUGGGAGGGGGCAACAGAAGUCAGCCGAGGCCGUAGUAGUGAUGCAAACCCGGCGUCAUGAAGGGC
Serratia sp. DD3 is the source of this 85-nucleotide non-coding RNA. The record is from Rfam. NCBI's taxonomy places the organism in Bacteria, Pseudomonadati, Pseudomonadota, Gammaproteobacteria, Enterobacterales, Yersiniaceae.